AUUGAACGCUGGCGGCAUGCCUUACACAUGCAAGUCGAACGGUAACAGGCCGCAAGGUGCUGACGAGUGGCGAACGGGUGAGUAAUACAUCGGAACGUGCCCGAGAGUGGGGGAUAACGGAGCGAAAGCUUUGCUAAUACCGCAUACGAUCUACGGAUGAAAGCAGGGGACCGCAAGGCCUUGCGCUCAUGGAGCGGCCGAUGCCUGAUUAGCUUGUUGGUGGGGUAAAAGCCUACCAAGGCGACGAUCCGUAGCGGGUCUGAGAGGAUGAUCCGCCACACUGGGACUGAGACACGGCCCAGACUCCUACGGGAGGCAGCAGUGAGGAAUAUUGGUCAAUGGGCGCAAGCCUGAACCAGCCAUGCCGCGUGCAGGAAGACGGUCCUAUGGAUUGUAAACUGCUUUUAUACAGGAAGAACAACUCUACGUGUAGAGUCUUGACGGUACUGUAGGAUAAGGAUCGGCUAACUCCGUGCCAG
This 479-nucleotide ribosomal RNA is filed under the name uncultured bacterium. RNAcentral's name for it is "bacterial SSU rRNA". It matches the Rfam family "Bacterial small subunit ribosomal RNA", at positions 30 to 511 of the family's 1533-position model. The record is from RNAcentral.